GAUGAACGCUAGCGAUAGGCUUAACACAUGCAAGUCGAGGGGCAGCACAAGGUAGCUUGCUAUCUGGGUGGCGACCGGCGCACGGGUGCGUAACGCGUAUGCAACUUGCCCUAUACAGGAGGAUAACCCGUCGAAAGACGGACUAAUACUGCGUAUGCUCACAACUUGGCAUCAAGUGGUGAGGAAAGAAAUUCGGUAUAGGAUAGGCAUGCGUCCCAUUAGCUUGUUGGUGAGGUAACGGCUCACCAAGGCAACGAUGGGUAGGGGAACUGAGAGGUUUAUCCCCCACACUGGUACUGAGACACGGACCAGACUCCUACGGGAGGCAGCAGUGAGGAAUAUUGGUCAAUGGGCGCGAGCCUGGACCAGCCAAGUCGCGUGAAGGAUGACUGUCUUAUGGAUUGUAAACUUCUUUUAUACGGGAAUAACAAGAGUCACGUGUGACUCCCUGCAUGUACCGUAUGAAUAAGCAUCGGCUAACUCCGUG
Molecule: ribosomal RNA, 487 nt
Filed under: uncultured bacterium
Lineage: Bacteria
Description: partial 16S ribosomal RNA
Rfam family: Bacterial small subunit ribosomal RNA
Source: RNAcentral